This is a long non-coding RNA of Cyprinus carpio carpio, 3748 nucleotides long. Lineage: Eukaryota; Metazoa; Chordata; Actinopteri; Cypriniformes; Cyprinidae. The record is from Ensembl.
CUGUUUUUCUGUUAGGCAAACUGAAACUGCACACAUAUUAUCUGUCCAAAACAUUUUUUCAAAACUCAAAGUUUCUCCUUUCUCUCCCUCAAACCAGUCUUUCUCAUACUGGUCAUCUCGUUCCACUACGACAUGUGACGUGCAAUGCAAUUUGUCAGGCAACAUAAUUUCUCUGUCAAAUGGUUUAGUUCUAUUUUUAGUCAGUUCACACAUCAUUUCAGCCCAAUCAGAAUUUAUGAUGUGCCACUCAUAUGCCCAUUUUGGUUCUGCUUGCAGACAGCAAACUUGCUCUCUCUCUGUCACACGGACACCCCGAGAGUCUGCAACCAGUGUCAAAUUUAGUUUGCACAAUAAAUCUCUCCCCAUCAAAGGCACUGGGCAUGCUGGAGCACUGUGAAUCGUUCACAUAUUACGUGCCCUGAUGCAGAAAUUGACUCAUUUGUUUCGCCCGUUAAUUGUGGUUGGCAUGGCAAGUCACAUGGUCAUAUCGUCGAUCUUGAAGCCCCAGAAUCAGCUAAAAACUCAAUCAAUAUCCCCUCUACCAGCAUAGGAUAUUUAGGCAUUCUCAAAAAGGCUUCACUUUUAUACAUUAUCUCACAUUUGUCAGGAUUUUCAUAAACAGAAUCAGACGUACACAAAGGAAAGCAAGCUUUUUCUUCAUUGCAGAGAGCAGAAUGUAAAUCAGUGUAUGUGUGUGUGUAUGUGGUUAGAAAGUUUUCACUUCCCUGACUUGUGGCUGUUGGCUGCUCGCCCUGGACCCCUCCUCUCUGCUCUCCGUCUUCCUUGCUUCAGUCUGCUUCUUGAUUUUGCCGGUCCUCCGGGCAAUUCUUUGCCCAAUGACCGUCCUUUUUGCACAGUCUGCAUCUUGUACACUUGUAGGUCGCAUGCUCAUUAGUCUCGCAGAUCCAACAGCCCCAUCUCUCAGAAUUUCUUCCAAGAUCUUUUCCUCGUCCUUUUCCCUUUCCCCCUUUUGCUUGCUGGUGUCGCUGCGCAGAAUAGCCCCCAGGCUUCGACACUGCUUGCACUACCGCCAGCUGCCACUCUCUGUCGGUCUUGGCUUUAACUCUUUCCUUCUUCGCCGUCUGCAGCUCCUCUGCAUGCAAAGCGUGUGCUAAAACAGCAGAUAGUCGUCCACUUUUCCAUUCAAUGUAGCUGGUCUUGACCGCUUGCGUAAUUUCAGGUCUCAGUCCAUUCAAAAACCAGCUUCGGAGAUGACACUCCCAUGUGUCAGGCUGAUUUCCGCGCUCAUCCGGUUCCUCUAACCCGCUGUGUUUGUUGAAAAUCAGAUACAGGCGGUUGUAAUAGUCCUGAACAGACUCAUCUCUUCCCUGGCAGCAAUUGCCAAUCUUCGCUGUGUCCACACGCGCUGGAAAUGCUAUUUUUAUAGCUUCAGCCAACUCUUCAACAGCUUUGCGGUAGCUUGCAUUAUCAUGGUGUUCCCAUUCACAGUGUUCUCUCCGACAGUCUUCUUUCUGCAGCUUUCCACUCACUUUGUGCCAGCUCGUAGCCCCCAGUUUCACUGCCAGCAGCCUUCUCAGUUCGUGCACGGUUGGGCUGAAUUCUUGGCAGAAGGUGACCAAUUCUGUAGAAAAUUUAUCACCUGCUUCGUCCGGGCUUGGCAAGUGAGCCAUCGCUUCUCUCAUGUCAGUCACAGUCCAUGGUCUGAAGACCAUAAUGGGCCCCUCAGGACCAGAUACUUCGAGCAUUGGAGCUGUUACACUCACAUUUUCUUCUUUCACUGUUUGUCUUGUUUUUCUUUUCUUUGUCGGCGGUGCUCUGCGCACUAUUUCCUCUUCAAUUUCGUCGUUGGGGGUUUCAGGAAUAAUUUCUGGUUCUUCCUCUGCUUCCUGUCCCCAUUCUGGUUCUGCCCGCGGCGCUGUUGGUCUUUUCGGUGGAGAGCGGUCGAGGUCAGGGUCCAUUUUCACGGCUUGCAACUCCGCCACGGGAUAGUGAGGAUAAGGCGGCGGUGCAUGUUUGGAAACACAAAUAUCACAGUUGUUAGUGGAUCUGUGUGAUGCAAUUACUUUUUCUUCACAGUUUCCAUUUUUCUUUUCUUCCUUUCUGCCUGCUAAUUCUUUCUGUAUCGCUCUUCUCUCUCUCUUAUCUGCUUCCUCUAUCCAACAAUUCACCGUUUCCUCACAUUUCUUACACAUAUGUUUCACACAACACCCUCUCUGUCUCUCACUUCCCUCUUCUACUGAUUCCUUCACAGCUUUUAAUCUCUUAACACUCAACGUUCCCUCUUUUGGAAAACCAUGGUAUUUAAUUAAUUUCCCCAUAUCUUGCAUGCAUUUCUGGCCAUAUACCUUUUUCAUUUGCCAAUAUACCGGUGUAUCAUAUUCAACAAGCUUGCUCUGAGACUUUCCCAUAUUUGCUGUUUCCUUCUCUGUGGAUACCCUUUGGCGCGCCUAUAAUCUGUCAGACGUCUCUAACAGAUCCGACUUUUCCGCCCAGUCGGAAAGGCAGAGCGCUCCCUGCGCUCGAACUAAUACCCGCACAGUCUCACUUCCCCUCUUAGAAAUGUGUUAACCGCUUGCGCGUGAUAUCAAUUUUGCUUUGAAAUAUCUGGAUCGUCUUGAUCUCAAUUUCUAACUCAAUUUCUAAUCACGCCAAUUGCAGCAGUUUCAAUUCCCCCCAGAAAUUUAUUGACUGUGCCGUAGUAUUCCUCACAAUCGCAUUCCCCCCCAGAAACUUCUUGAUCAUGGCACUCUGCCACCCACAGUUUCAAUUUCUUUCUCAGAAAUAUUUUAACUGUGCUGCAACUGUCAACGUGAUCUCAGUUCUCCCGGAGACUUCUUGAUUGUGUUUCCCACAGAGAAGGACCCACCGCUAUGGUUCGUCCCUUUCUUUUUCUUAAUUCCAAUUCUAAUCUCUAAAAAACCCCCCAAUUUUUAGAAGAUUAUAAACUGUCUCUUACCCGAGAGUCCUGUUGCCACCCAGGUUCUUUUUGAUUCCAGUGGUGUCCCCUCCGGGCCUCGGCGGUCGGUCCCUCUCUCCCUCAAACCUAUUCGGGGUUAGGGCUGAACGUCUAUUGUCCAGGGGGCGCCGUGAUGGUGACACGCCGUGCCGGUACUUCUCUAGUAUCUCUGUGGACACAGGUGAUGGGCAGUCUGGCUUUGGGUUCCGGCCGUGGAGGAAGGACAGUUGGCCAGACAAGGGUGACAACGCUGCCUGAAUCGAGGAGGGCGAGGACCAAUCGGCCAUUUAUCUUCACUUCCGCCCGUGGGGCCCGCUUUGGGGUUUCCGCAUGGAUGGCACAGCCUGCCAGCCAAGCCCAUCCAGGGGAGUGAGGAGCUUCGGUGGGCAUAGGUUCAUCCUGAGGCCCGGGAACCGCCGGCCUGCCGACUGGUCGCUGGGUGCCCUCCGGCGGGGAAAGGGCGGCGCUCGCUCCCCAGCCUCCCAGUUGGGUGGCCUCCGCCAGCUCGAUGGCCUCCACCAGCUCGUCGAUGUUGGUGUGGUGAAGCAGUAUAUGGUUUUAAUAAAUUUAACUUACGGUGAAAAUUUUCGACUACGCCACCCUGAAUCAAUUAGGGAAUAUCAAAAUAACCCAGCAAUUAACACUAGGACACACAGGUUUGUGUGUGCCAGGAACGUCAGAGACAUGAGCACAAACAAUUUACCAAUGGUCUUUUAUUAAAUGUACAAAACUAGUUAAAAUAGUAUGUUCUUUAAACAAAAGGUGCUCAACGGAACAUGUACAAAUAAUGGCAGUUUACAAGAGAGGUGAUCACAGGGGGCAGUAUAUAAU